Molecule: ribosomal RNA, 497 nt
Filed under: uncultured bacterium
Lineage: Bacteria
Description: partial 16S ribosomal RNA
Rfam family: Bacterial small subunit ribosomal RNA
Source: RNAcentral
GAUGAACGCUGGCGGUGUGCCUAAUACAUGCAAGUCGAGCGAACAGAUGAGGAGCUUUCUCCUCUGACGUUAGAGGCGGACGGGAGAGUAACAUGUGGAUAACCUACCUAUAAGACUGGGAUAACAAUGGGAAAUCGGAGCUAAUACAGGAUAAUAAUUUGAAGCGGAUGGUCUCAUAGUUAAAUACGGUGUUGGUGUCAUAUAUAGUCACCUACGCACCGGCUUGUCGAGUAGGUAAGGUAACGGCUUACCAAUGUAACGGUGCGUAGCCGACCUGACAGGGAGAUCGAGCACGUCUGAACGGAGGCCCGGUCCAGAUGCCUACGAGAGGCAGCAGUAGGGAAUCUUCCGCGAUGGAGGGAAGCAUUACGGAGAAACGGCGCGUGAGUGACGAAGGUCUUCCGAUCGUAAAACUCUGCUAUUAGGGAAGAACAAAUGUGUAAUUAACUAUGCACGUCUUGACGGUACCUAAUCAGAAAGCCACGGCUAACUACGUG